This 459-nucleotide ribosomal RNA is filed under the name uncultured bacterium. RNAcentral describes it as "SSU rRNA". It matches the Rfam family "Bacterial small subunit ribosomal RNA", at positions 26 to 518 of the family's 1533-position model. The record is from RNAcentral.
AGAAUCAACGCUGGCGGCGUGCCUAACACAUGCAAGUCGAACGAGAAAGUGGAGCAAUCCAUGAGUAAAGUGGCGACCGGGUGAGUAACACGUGACUAACCUACCUUCGAGUGGGGGAUAACAUCGGGAAACCGAUGCUAAUACCGCAUAACAUCGCAAGAUCAAAGCAGCAAUGCGCUGGAAGAGGGGGUCGCGGCUGAUUAGCUAGUUGGCGGGUAACGGCCCACCAAGGCGAAGAUCGGUAGCCGGCCUGAGAGGGCGCACGGCCACACUGGAACUGAAACACGGUCCAGACUCCUACGGGAGGCAGCAGUGGGGAAUUUUGCGCAAUGGGGGAAACCCUGACGCAGCAACGCCGCGUGGAGGAUGAAGCCCCUUGGGGUGUAAACUCCUUUCGACCAAGACGAUAAUGACGGUACUGGUGGAAGAAGCACCGGCUAACUCUGUGCCAGCAGCCGC